AUGACGACAGAGGGUCUGGUGCCGAUCACGCGGGACUACCUCGCGCGCUACUACGACAAGUACCCGCUGCCCCCGAUCCCCGACGGCGUAAUCGCCCUCGCUGCCCGCCUCCGCGCUCUGUCCGCCGAACUCGCCGCCGCCUCUCCCUUCUCCCCCGAGGAGGAGCACUUGGAACAAGAGGCAUCUGGUGUACCUGCCCAUAAAAUAGAUGAGAACAUGUGGAAGAACAGAGAACAGAUGGAAGAGAUUCUGUUUCUGCUUAAUAAAUCUCGUCGUCCCGUUGCUCUUCAACAGAAGUCCACACUAGAAGACGCUGAGAUAGUUUCCACACUUGAUGAUUGUGAAACUAAAUUGAAAGAGAUGUUGAAGAAGUUGGAACAGUUUCAGCUAAAAAAUGCCGAUAAUGUUUUCAAUACAGUUAUGACAUACAUGCCACAAGACUUCCGCGGUACACUGAUCAGGCAACAGCGAGAACGCUCUGAGAGAAAUAAGCAAGCGGAGGUUGAUGCUGUAGUUAGUUCUGGUGGAAGCAUUCAUGAUAGAUAUGCAUUGCUAUGGAAGCAGCAAAUGGAUAGGCGGGUGCAAUUAGCGCAGCUUGGUUCUGCAACAGGUGUAUAUAAGACACUUGUUAGGUACUUGGUUGGUGUUCCACAGGUGUUAUUGGAUUUUAUUCGACAAAUAAAUGAUGCUAAUGGACCUAUGGAAGUGCAAAGAGAACGCUACGGGCCAGCACUAUACACACUUACAAAACUGGUGCUUGCAGUUCGGUUGUAUCUACAUCUCUCUUUGGCACGAUAUGGACAGAAGAAAAUAGGGAAGGAUGACAUUGCUGUGUUGCAGCAGGCAGUGGUUAUAUACACCGAGGAAUUUGGGAAGUUCACUACAUUCAUCGGUGAGGUUUUUGUGAAUGCCCCAUUCUUCAUAUCUGCUGAGGAUGCAGGUGCUGAUUCGAGGAAAAACGAUGAGUACCGAGAAACCAUUAUUCCAGCGGGAAAGACACAUGAGGUACCAUUUUAG
RNAcentral lists this ribosomal RNA (1017 nucleotides) under Triticum aestivum (bread wheat). RNAcentral describes it as "partial small subunit ribosomal RNA". Lineage: Eukaryota; Viridiplantae; Streptophyta; Magnoliopsida; Poales; Poaceae. The record is from RNAcentral.